AGUUGUUUCUUACUGUUUUUCCUAAAACAGAUGUCAAGAGACAGAUAUGGGAAUUCUGGGACAGUAGAAUAGAUCUUUAUAAACAACGAGUGGCAGAACUCAGAGAGUGGGAGAGUGUUCCCUGUCUAUAAUCCAGCCACAGGAGAACAGGUGUGUGAAGUUCAAGAAGCAGACAAGGCAGAUAUAGACAAAGCAGUGCAGGCAGCCCGCCUGGCUUUCUCUCUUGGUUCAGUGUGGAGAAGGAUGGAUGCUUCAGAAAGGGGACGUCUGUUGGAUAAGCUUGCAGACUUGGUGGAACGGGACAGGGCAGUUCUUGCAAUGGAGACUAUUUUACCUUUACAAGACAUGAACCCAUUGGAGUGUGUGGACAGAUCAUCCCAUGGAACUUCCCCCUGCUGAUGUUUGCCUGGAAAAUAGCUCCAGCUUUGUGCUGUGGCAAUACAGUAGUUAUUAAGCCAGCAGAGCAAACACCACUCAGUGCACUCUACAUGGGAGCCCUCAUCAAGGAGGCUGGCUUUCCUCCCGGGGUCAUCAAUAUUUUGCCA
Molecule: long non-coding RNA, 545 nt
Filed under: Homo sapiens (human)
Lineage: Eukaryota; Metazoa; Chordata; Mammalia; Primates; Hominidae
Description: non-protein coding lnc-ALDH1A2-9:12
Source: RNAcentral